RNAcentral lists this ribosomal RNA (479 nucleotides) under uncultured bacterium. Its description in RNAcentral is "bacterial SSU rRNA". It matches the Rfam family "Bacterial small subunit ribosomal RNA", at positions 19 to 518 of the family's 1533-position model. The record is from RNAcentral.
CUGGCUCAGGACGAACGCUGGCGGCGUGCUUCAUACAUGCAAGUCGAACGAGAAGCAGUCUUCGGACUGUGGAAAGUGGCGGACGGGUGAGUAAAAUGUAGAGAAUCUGCCCUAGAGUGGGGGAUAGCAGUUGGAAACGACUAUUAAUACCCCAUAUGAGCGUACUUGAGAUAGUAUUCUUGAAAACUCCGGUGCUCUAGGAUGAGUCUGCAUCUGAUUAGCUAGUAGGCGGUGUAAUGGACCACCCAGGCGACGAUCAGUAGCUGGUUUGAGAGGAUGAUCAGCCACAAUGGGACUGAGACACGGCCCAUACUCCUACGGGAGGCAGCAGUAGGGAAUUUUGCGCAAUGGGGGAAACCCUUGACGCAGCAACGCCGCGUGAAUGAAGAAGCCCUUCGGGGUGUAAAGUUCUGUCAGUGGGGACGAAACUUGACGGUACCCACAGAGGAAGCAUCGGCUAACUCCGUGCCAGCCGCCGC